UUUAUUUAUAAUAUAUUAUAUAUGUUUCAUAAAAAUAUUUUUAUGCAAUAUAUUAUUGAUAGUUUUGGUAUUAUAUAAUUAGUAAUCUUGAAUUUUCAUAGAAUAUCAAACAAAAUAUUCAUGGAUAUCCGAGGAUCUUUGAUCACUGGAUCAUAGCCUACCAAACAUAGUGAUUUUAGAUCACUGAUGAUCAAAUAACUACAGGAUUUAGAUCACAAUGGUGAUCUCAUUUGGAUCAUCAAAUGCUACCUUAGAGUCUAUAGGUGGCCACCGAUCAGCAGCAGGCUCACACAUUAAGCCAUCAUUCCUAUAUUCAGAGCCCAGGAGAGGCUUAACAAAGCUGUUACUCUCAUCCACAAAGCUCAGGACGAGAGAGAUGAGGUAGCGCUCUCUGAUCUUACACUCUAAGGAGGAUUCGACACCAAGCCAUUCCUCCCCACAUUGAUCGAAGAGGGUCUCCAAGAGGGAGGUCAAUCUCAAUCAAAAAAUUGAGGGGAUGGACCAUCAUAACAAGGCAUUGAUAGGCCAAUAUCUCGGGCUUGGAAAUGAUAUGGAAUUUAUGAUUGAGCCCUCAUGCUUGCCGAAGAUUAUGGAAGCUUCUCCCACCUCAUUUCAAGAUGUCACAAUUGGAGACAUAUGAUAAAACCUCAAACCCCCCCAGAUCACCAAGAGAGCUUCAAUGCUCUUAUGAUGCUUCUAGAUAUCAUGAUGUAGUAUGGUGGCAAACUUUUCUGGCCACCUUUCAAAAAGCAUAGUUAUGGUCCACCAAACUUUAACCAAGCUCCAUCCAUUCUUUC
This 797-nucleotide long non-coding RNA is filed under the name Elaeis guineensis (African oil palm). RNAcentral describes it as "long non-coding RNA (EGUI_LNC049147)". Lineage: Eukaryota; Viridiplantae; Streptophyta; Magnoliopsida; Arecales; Arecaceae. The record is from RNAcentral.